UCUGUCAACAAGAUCCCCCAUCUCCCUUUCCGUAUCAUGUUGUCCAGUCUAUCAUUCCCUGUCCAUACACCCAGAGUUGCCCCAUCCCCUACGGCACAAAAUACUAUUUUUCUUGACCACUGAUUUCCACCCAAUAAUGAAUACGUCUUUUACUCAGAGUUUACUGAGGUUCUUGGGAGUUUGCUUACGACUGCCAAAAUGCUGGAUGGCCCUUCAGCCAUGUCUGCAUGAACUAUGUCUGGACCUGAGAGUAUCCAAGCACCCCAAGGGCUGCAACUUGGAGAAAAUAAUGAAAAAAGAACCUACUGGACAGUGGACAAAAAGGCAUAGAAAAGUGGCCUCUGCCCAGAUUCAAACCCCAUACAGUAAGGUGAAAAAUGGAUUAGAGCCAAAGCCAGGCAAAAGCCUUGUUCAGACCUUAACUGGUGUUUUAUUAGUGCUCCUUAGGGCUGGUAUCACACAGCACUGGGAGUUCCUUUAGCAUGCUCCACCAGGAACAUAAAAACAAUUAGUCCCUAGGUUUGAUCAAUGCUCACCUCAGCCCUGCUCUGAGUAAGCUCUUCCACUGAGCCACUGAGGCUCCUGGGACAACAUGAUUGAUGCCCAAGGGUUUUUUCCAAAAUGAGGGUGAUGUGGGAAACUUUCUGGAUGUUAAACCUCAGGCCAGUCCAUGAUUUGGAAAAAAAGCCAUGAAAGCUGUUGGAAAGAGCUGCCAGCACCUGCCAGGCAGUGGGAGAAGGUGGCAGGAGGAGGAAGGGUGAAGCCUGUUGUUCCAAAACAAUACAUAUGGUGGUCAGCAAGAACCUCCACAACCACUGGGACAUUUCAGCAACUUCCUUGGGUGGCAAAGAGGUUUUUAUUUGUGUCUGCUCUGCGUCUUGAGGUCAUGAUGUUACUAUUUCUUCUAUCCUCGGUGUUACAGCUAGUCCUGCCAGUCCGUGUGGUGCCUUAAAUCUCAGAAUAUUUCAUGACCAGGCCUUGAAAUCAGCUCCACUCAGACAUUUACAGGAACAUUUUCAAGUUCAUUUAUUUGUCAAAUUGCAGUUUCAAAUUGUUAGCAGAUUCAUGUCUCCAGCCCACUGCCAUUCCAAAGACAAAAAAGAAAAAAAAAAAGAAAAAUAAUUGAGAACUGAGAAGUCCAAAUAUUUUCAUUCAACUUUUUUUUUAUAAUGAAGCAUUUUGGGACAAUGUUCUGCUUUGGUAUGCAAUUAAAUCUGAGUUUUCUGAAGCAGAAAUUCCACCUUAUCCCUAACUUAAAACAUCUGAUCCUGAAUGAAAUUCUGCAGGCAACCAAGGUUAAUGUGUGUGUGUGUGUAUGUGCAGAAAAGCGGAGGAAGUAGGUUUUCAGAAAAAGCAAAGCACCUAAGCAUGAUUCUUAAAAAGAAAGAUAGGAAAAAGAAUGGUAGUUAUUGCCAAGCUCUAGGUGUACCUCUGGUGAUGGCUGCCUUGCUUUUUUGAGCAGUUUUUACCUAGGACCUUCUGAGUAGAUCUUCUGAAUUUUGCACGCAUUUGCAUUUGGAGGGGAACUGGCAUUACCUCUGUUCCAUUUCAUCCCAUUGCUGAAAAUGGGGCAGAAGAGCCCAGUUUCACACCACGGGACAGCCACAAUCAGAUAUGGAGCCAGGUUGGUGAGGCAUCAUUUUCCUCUCUCACCACUGGCCACAUUUCAUCACUGAGGCUGAAAGAAUUCGGCUGCAGGGCCCUUGUGGCAUCCACUUGAGGCAGGACAUUCCAGUCCUGCACAGCCUUUGUAAACCUGGUGAGCUGCUGUAUUCACCAGCCCCUCAGACUCUCACAGCAGAAGUUGUUAAAAAGUCUGAAAUGUAAAGUGCUUCAUUGUGAAAUCUCUGCUGCAGCCUCUGCAACUUGGAGAGUUAUUCUAUUUGGUAUUGCUAGAGCUCUCACUGUGAUAUACUUUGGAAUAAUGAGACAUCAAUUCUCAGUCAAGAGGCUAUUUAAAAACACUCCUAAUUUGAUGGGUUGUGCAGAUGAAUUAGUUCAUUCACCACAACUUUUGCCAUUUAUGCUGGUGGUAGGACAGGUGUUGUGUCUCCUGUCUUUGAGAUUCUCCCUUUCUUUCUUGGAAUAACUGGUGUAUUAGGCAUUGUUCUUUAUCAACUGAGCUUUAGUGUUGAGAAUCAGGAAUAGGUAAACUUCCAGACAAGAGAGGGGAUUGUUUGGGAAUUAAAUGGAUCAAAAUAAAACCUGUUGAACACUGGAUGCUUCAAAAAUAUCUGGGCUUCACCCAGAGUGAUGGAGGGCCAAGCCCCAAGGCAUUCAGUGAUGCCUGUAGGAGCACAGCUUUGUCAGUAACUUCUGCUCUAGUUCUCUUGCAGCGCAGAAAACACUGAAGGGGAAAAAGCUUUUCUCCCUUCCUCUUACUCCUAACCCUUCCAGACCUGUAGUGAGAGAUUGUCUGACCAUUUAUUUUGUAUUAAAGGGAAAAGAUGUUCCCAGGAUCCUGGUCAGUGGCCAGGAAAACUCAAAACAACAGAGGCUUUGUACAGAGAAGAGACUGAGUUCCUCCAGGAACAGAAAAGCAGCUGCUGAUGGGACAGCAGGACUUUUUGUUCCUGCACAAGGCUGUCCAGUUAACUGUGCAAAAUAUAAAUUUGAUGGCCAGAUACGGAUCAAAUAGAGAACACAGCAGAGUCCUGCUUUGCAGCAGCAUCCCUAGAGAUGCCAGUGUCUGCAUGGGUAAGGAGAGCCAUAUCUUGAGCUGCACGGUGAAGAGAAGUGCUCAUGGUUGCUGCCAAGCUGCAUCUGCUCUGCUGUGAAAGGAGGCUUUCAUCUUUAUGCCUAGUGAUCAGGGGAAAAAAAAAAAAGACCCAAAACAAAAAAAAGCUUCAUUGCUUUUGCCAGAAAGAUCACCUUCUCUGGUCCCCUGUGUGGAACAGGUGGUGGAUAUGGUAGCUUUUAUUGUUUAUGGUGAGAAACUAAAUUCCUGUAAGUGGGUUAUUUUGUGUGUUUUUAAUUUUGUAAAUACUUCCACCCCAGUAUCCCAAGAGCACGAACAGCCACUGACAAAUGAGUAAAAGUGUCUCAACUGUGUGCAUGGUGAAUUGAAUUCCAGUAUAUUUUACAAAAAAUUUCUCUUCUGAAAGGAUUUUGUGGUGGUGUUCAAAUGGAUGGGGGGCUUUAGGAAUAGUUGGAGGUUAAGAAAAAGAAAAUAGCUCUGUUAGACCUUGGAGAAGUGUUGAGCUAAAAGGGCUAAGAAUUGAGGUGGAGGAAAAAUGCAUUUAAAUGCUUUUAGAUGAACCACUGUGUCUUUACAGUGGACCCUAAAAAUUGAGUGGAGGGAGAGUGGAGAAUGGGGCAAAUAUUCCAGAUAUACAGAGAUCAUGCAGCUGUAGGAGGGACUAGGAAUUCAAAUUAUGAUCCAGGGGAAGAUAGUAAUGCUCCUAUUUGCUCUAUCUGAGAAGUUCUUGGGUAUAUGUAACUGUAGAAGAGUCCCCCCAAAAAUCUCUUAGGAUCAAGAGCAGAAGAGAUGGAAACCUUGGAAGAGAAGCACAGGUAUACUCUAGGGACAGCAAACAGAGCAGGGGAGCAUCCAGGUGGAGUAUUUUGUGGACAGGAGGUUCCUCUGGAGAGGUGUGAUUAGCUAUGACCUUGUAAGUGGUUCAUCAAAAGAGAUUUCUGGACUAGGUUGGGGUGUGACUGCUGGAGCACAAAACUGACAUGCCCUGUCCACACUGGUGGAUGUGCACAUGAAUGUCCUGUUCAUGCCACAAGUCAUUCAGCUGAGGGCUCUACAUCUGAAAAAAACCCCAGGUCACAGUGCUCUAAUAUGGUGGUGUGAAUUUGGAAGCAUCCUAAACAUCAAGUCAUCUCGGAAAUGAUGGCUUUGCUGGGUAAAGACCUCAGUUGUUCUGCUCGGACAAAAGAACGUUUGUGAACUUCUGUAGGACUCUGAGUUCUGCACAGGAAAAUAGAGACGAAGAACAGAAUUCUGCUGCAGAUUCACAUCAUGCUUUCGUUCCACCUAAGCCCCUGGGAGCACAAGGGAGUUUACACUGUUCUGUCAGGAGCCUGCGACCCAGUGAACAACAACAGCUGGACGUGUUGAGGCUGAUGUCAGCUUCUGGAUCAUCUCCUUUGGCAGCCUGAGUCACUGCUCUCAAAAUGAUCCUGUGCACCCUCUGGGUGGAGUACACGACACUCAGGACUGCAAGGAAUUUCUCCAAGCCAGAUGUGAAUAUACCUCAAACCCAAGCCAUCACCAGCUUCCUGCAUUGCUCUCAAGAAGAGCAGGAGAAGGAAAUGCACAAAGCCAGAGCAGCCUCAAAGUGGCUGAUGCAGAUGAGUGCAGAGACAUCCCAUUUCUGCUCCAGCAGCUUCAGGGAACUGGGAAAUCUCUCCCUGCACACCUCAGCCCAGAGACAUUGCCUCGCCCAAAGGAGUACACAGCAGAGUGAAAGGACAAAAUUGACUUUAAAAGAGGAAAAUUAAUUUGCUAGCACAGUACAUGAGUUAUCUGUGAGACUAGGAACAGACCUUACUCCUCCUGCAUCUAUUUAUUGAGUUGCUGGACCAUAUCUUCUCUAAUGGACAGCCCCUCUAGUUAGCUUCACAUGGAGGACUUUGAUGUACUGUUGGAGUAUGGCAGAUGUAUUUAAAUAUCCACCUUUCUUAUUUAAGUGUGUUUCAUAUUUUAAAGCUAGGGACAGGCUAAAGACAGAAUUUAUUUUUUGGUAUUAAAUUUCUUGAUUGGUUUAGAACUAAAUAAUUUAUAUAUAUAUAUUUAUAUAUAUAUAUAUAUAUAUAUUUCAAAUUAAAGCCUUCCAAGGCUUUUCAAGAUUUACAGUCCUUUAGCAGUGAAUAAUGGCUUUAGGACACAGAAGGAAUAUUUGAAAUCUUUAUUAAACUUUCUAUAUGAUAGCUUCUCCUACUAAUACAGUCAGACUUUGGGGUUUAUCACAGUUUCUAUCAAGAAUCCUGAUUUUUCAGGGGUUUAGAACAAUGUGGUCUUAAAACCUGCCCACAGCUAAAACACAUUUUUGGUCUUAUCACACCAAGCUUAUAGUAAAUUGGAAUAGAAAUUAGAAAAGUGCAAGAAUAGUUCUGUCAUCUCUGGUUACUUCUUGUAGAAAGCCAUAAAAGUUCAGAGUCUUGGCCAGCCGUAAAAGAUAAUGUUCCUUUCAUCUCAGUAUUGCCUAUCUGACAAUUUAUGUUUUUUCAUGAUGCUGAAUUAUCACUGCCUGCACAUGGGAAACCACAAUGUGGAAAGAAAGAGACCUGGACCCUGGCUGAGAGCCUGGGGUGCAGUCACCCUCACCACGCUCUGCUGUCCUGAAAAAAGAUGGAAAGCAGGUCUUCCUUAAAAAGAAACUUCCCUCUGUAACAUCCCAUGGCAGCAAGCCUCACAAGUUUUGCACAGAAUUUAGCCAUUUAACUGUUUGCUGUGUUAGUGUUUCACCACUCUUAUUUCUCUUGAUUUGCAUUUUUAGGAUGAAGCAAGCUGUGGUGAUUCCUUGUUACAGAAUAUGAAACUUCAAAAACCUUUUAAAUAUUUUUCUUAUUUUUAUUUUUUAAAGUCUUUUGGGGUUUUUAUUCAGUUAGUUAGUUAGUUAGUUAGUUAGUUAGUUAGUUAGUUAGUUAGUUAGUUAGUUUGUUUGUUUGUUUUUUGGGUCAAUAUAGACUUUUGUCUCCAGGUGCAGCUGUAACAGGAGUAACAGCAAAUGCAGUAAAUUACAUAUGAGACACACCAGUAGAGGCUGAUAUAACCACCCACAGCUAAAAGCAAUGGAUUAUUAGCAUACCUGCCUAUCAAUAAAAUACUGAUGUAAUAAUUUAAACCUUUAUAAAAGAAGCCCUUUCAAUCUCUGUUGAUGACUUUACAUUAAAAUUGUUUUCAAUUUGGAAGAUGUUGCUGUGACCAGCUUGAAAGCUGUAAUUAAAUUUUUUGAAAAAUAAUAGCUAGUUUUGUGGUGGCCAAAUGUGUAAGAUGCAUUUCCAUACGGAGGGUGGGCUUUGUUGAGGCUUUGCUAGUCUCAGGACAUAAGCAAAAGAAAGUUUAUAGUUUCCAAUUAACUCUUCUGUCAGAGAUGGUCUAACAAAUGCAUAUCUGAUUUGGCUCAGAGAAUAUGUUCUUAGCUUUGAAGUAUUUCAAACAUAAAGGAAAGUUCUAACAGUGGAAAUACUUUCUGCUUUUUUCCAGCUGCACCUGGCUUGUCUAUUUAAACAGAUGACUACAACUGGCAAAUGUUGUCUGCAGCGAGGUCAGUUUGAUACUUCUGGAACCCUUUAUUCAGAAGGACUGCUUUUCCUAAGGAAUUUCCAGAUUCCAUUUCAGCUGGAGAUGGGUGAUGUCAAACCUGCCAGCAUUUCUUAGCAGAUGUGUGAAAUCCCAGUUUUCCACCAGGUCUUCUACACAGACAGACAAGUUUAUUCAGAUGUGGGCACUGUAUUUCCCCUGGCAACCUUAAACAGUUGUAGGCAUUUCUGGCUUGGCAGGUGCCUGAGCAAGCCUCACUUGUGGGUGAGUAGCCACAGCUCCAAGGCAGAGGUACUUGCCUGAAGCACUCUCUGUGUUUCAGAGAACCCUCUCUUCCUGUGAGGAGCCUUGGAGAGCUUUUGAGCAUCCUUAUUCCCAAUAUUGCUGAAGGUAGACCCUUGUCUCUGCCUGUCUCUCUCUGGGAAAAUGGAUGUAAAGGUGGGAAGGAAUAUGCAUUUCCAUGUGCAGACUGUGAAUUGGACAGCUAUUGGCUAGCUGGGUCAUUUCAUCUUGAAAUUUAAGCUGACUUCAAGCAGGGACAGGAAAUCCUCCCUUUGCUGGAGGCCACUUUUUGCUCCUGCUCUUGGUGGAUUUCCCUUUUGCACAUCCUUCCGUGGAACUCCAGAGUUACACCUUCCACCUUGUGCCUGCCCCUCCUCUGAAAAUAAUGUGUGCAUGGACAUGUGACAGAAGGUUGCAGACUACUCCCAUCCCACAACCUGACAUGACAGCAUCAAAAGGUUUUUCUGUUGUUCUUACUUAUUUUUCUUCCCAUUCUACAAGUCCUGGUGAGACUGAUGUUGAUUUUAUUUUCUUUUUCCCCCUCUCCAGAAUUAUUCAUGUGUUACCAUUGUAAAUGCUGCUGGAUUGCUAAUUAAAUGCUAUUUAGAGUUAAA
Molecule: long non-coding RNA, 7110 nt
Organism: Passer domesticus (house sparrow)
Lineage: Eukaryota; Metazoa; Chordata; Aves; Passeriformes; Passeridae
Exons: 2
Source: RefSeq, a predicted model, not a curated record